UACGUAGGGUGCAAGCGUUGUCCGGAAUUACUGGGCGUAAAGGGCGAGUAGGCGGUCUGCCAAGUCAGGUGUGAAAUCCUCCGGCUUAACCGGAGGGGGUCGCUUGAAACUGGCCGACUGGAGUGCAGGAGAGGCUAACGGAAUUCCCGGUGUAGUGGUGAAAUGCGUAGAGAUCGGGAGGAACACCAGUGGCGAAGGCGGUUAGCUGGCCUGUAACUGACGCUGAGGCGCGAAGGCUAGGGGAGCAAACAGG
Molecule: ribosomal RNA, 253 nt
Filed under: uncultured bacterium
Lineage: Bacteria
Description: partial 16S ribosomal RNA
Rfam family: Bacterial small subunit ribosomal RNA
Source: RNAcentral